RNAcentral lists this ribosomal RNA (253 nucleotides) under uncultured bacterium. RNAcentral describes it as "partial 16S ribosomal RNA". It matches the Rfam family "Bacterial small subunit ribosomal RNA", at positions 524 to 776 of the family's 1533-position model. The record is from RNAcentral.
UACGUAGGGUGCAAGCGUUAAUCGGAAUUACUGGGCGUAAAGCGUGCGCAGGCGGUUAUGCAAGUCAGAUGUGAAAUCCCCGGGCUUAACCUGGGAACCGCAUUUGUGACUGCAUAGCUGGAGUACGGCAGAGGGGGAUGGAAUUCCGCGUGUAGCAGUGAAAUGCGUAGAUAUGCGGAGGAACACCGAUGGCGAAGGCAGUCCCCUGGGCCUGUACUGACGCUCAUGCACGAAAGCGUGGGGAGCAAACAGG